CCGUGCCAGCAGCCGCGGUAAUACGGAGGGGGUUAGCGUUGUUCGGAAUUACUGGGCGUAAAGCGCACGUAGGCGGAUUAGAAAGUUGGGGGUGAAAUCCCGGGGCUCAACCCCGGAACUGCCUCCAAAACUGCUAGUCUAGAGUUCGAGAGAGGUGAGUGGAAUUCCGAGUGUAGAGGUGAAAUUCGUAGAUAUUCGGAGGAACACCAGUGGCGAAGGCGGCUCACUGGCUCGAUACUGACGCUGAGGUGCGAAAGUGUGGGGAGCAAACAGGAUUAGAUACCCUGGUAGUCCACACCGUAAACGAUGAAUGCCAGUCGUCGGGUAGUAUACUAUUCGGUGACACACCUAACGGAUUAAGCAUUCCGCCUGGGGAGUACGGUCGCAAGAUUAAAACUCAAAU
Molecule: ribosomal RNA, 403 nt
Filed under: uncultured bacterium
Lineage: Bacteria
Description: bacterial SSU rRNA
Rfam family: Bacterial small subunit ribosomal RNA
Source: RNAcentral